GAUGAACGCUGGCGGCGUGCCUAAUACAUGCAAGCCGAGCGAAUGGAUUAAGAGCUUGCUCUUAUGAAGUUAGCGGCGGACGGGUGAGUAACACGUGGGUAACCUGCCCAUAAGACUGGGAUAACUCCGGGAAACCGGGGCUAAUACCGGAUAACAUUUUGAACCGCAUGGUUCGAAAUUGAAAGGCGGCUUCGGCUGUCACUUAUGGAUGGACCCGCGUCGCAUUAGCUAGUUGGUGGGGUAACGGCUAACCAAGGCAACGAUGCGUAGCCGACCUGAGAGGGUGAUCGGCCACACUGGGACUGAGACACGGCCCAGACUCCUACGGGAGGCAGCAGUAGGGAAUCUUCCGCAAUGGACGAGAGUCUGACGGAGCAACGCCGCGUGAGUGAUGAAGGCUUUCGGGUCGUAAAACUCUGUUGUUAGGGAAGAACAAGUGCUAGUUGAAUAAGCUGGCACCUUGACGGUACCUAACCAGAAAGCCACGGCUAACUACGUGCCAGCAGCCGCCGUAA
RNAcentral lists this ribosomal RNA (515 nucleotides) under uncultured bacterium. RNAcentral describes it as "partial 16S ribosomal RNA". It matches the Rfam family "Bacterial small subunit ribosomal RNA", at positions 28 to 523 of the family's 1533-position model. The record is from RNAcentral.